RNAcentral lists this long non-coding RNA (407 nucleotides) under Olea europaea (common olive). RNAcentral's name for it is "long non-coding RNA (OEUR_LNC006769)". Lineage: Eukaryota; Viridiplantae; Streptophyta; Magnoliopsida; Lamiales; Oleaceae. The record is from RNAcentral.
ACAUUCUACUAAAGAAGAGGGGGACUUUCCUUGCAAUAUGGAGUAGGUGGACCUUUAUAUUACAACCUUUGACCCAUUUUACAAUUGAAAAUACACACAAACACAUACUAGAGCCGGCUGAGAGGAAGAAAAACCGAGAAGAAUCGAGAAAGAGGUGGAGAAAAGAAAAAAGAAGAAAGAAAAAAGAAAAAAGAAAAGGAAGAAGAAGAAGAAGGAAGAGGAAGAAAAAAUGAUGGCAAUACCAACAUGGUCCUUAAAAUUCUUCCUUAAUUUCUUCAGGUUAGUAAAAGAUGUAUUUAUGGAAAAUAAUUCUUGAAUUUAAGGUUUGUAAACAAUUACUUAUGUUUAAAGUUUGACAAUAAUUAAAGAUUAUGAAUAUGUAUUUGAGGUUAUAACUAAACUAUGGC